AUUGAACGCUGGCGGCAUGCCUUACACAUGCAAGUCGAACGGCAGCACGGGUGCUUGCACCUGGUGGCGAGUGGCGAACGGGUGAGUAAUACAUCGGAACAUGUCCUGUAGUGGGGGAUAGCCCGGCGAAAGCCGGAUUAAUACCGCAUACGAACUACGGAUGAAAGCGGGGGCCCUUCGGGCCUCGCGCUAUAGGGUUGGCCGAUGGCUGAUUAGCUAGUUGGUGGGGUAAAGGCCUACCAAGGCGACGAUCAGUAGCUGGUCUGAGAGGACGACCGGCCACACUGGGACUGAGACACGGCCCAGACUCCUACGGGAGGCAGCAGUGGGGAAUUUUGCGCAAUGGGCGAAAGCCUGACCGAGCAAUGCCGCGUGUGUGAAGAAGGCCUUCGGGUUGUAAAGCACUUUUGUCCGGAAAGAAAUACUUGGCCCUAAUACGGUCGGGGGAUGACGGUACCGGAAGAAUAAGCACCGGCUAACUACGUG
Molecule: ribosomal RNA, 486 nt
Filed under: uncultured bacterium
Lineage: Bacteria
Description: partial 16S ribosomal RNA
Rfam family: Bacterial small subunit ribosomal RNA
Source: RNAcentral